This 2001-nucleotide ribosomal RNA is filed under the name Vibrio cholerae. RNAcentral's name for it is "partial 23S ribosomal RNA". It matches the Rfam family "Bacterial large subunit ribosomal RNA", at positions 49 to 2092 of the family's 2925-position model. The record is from RNAcentral. Lineage: Bacteria; Pseudomonadati; Pseudomonadota; Gammaproteobacteria; Vibrionales; Vibrionaceae.
AUGAAGGACGUACUAACUUGCGAUAAGCGCAGAUAAGGCAGUAAGAGCCGUUUGAGUCUGCGAUUUCCGAAUGGGGAAACCCAACUGCAUAAGCAGUUACUGUUAACUGAAUACAUAGGUUAACAGAGCAAACCGGGGGAACUGAAACAUCUAAGUACCCCGAGGAGAAGAAAUCAACCGAGAUUCCGGUAGUAGCGGCGAGCGAACCUGGAUUAGCCCUUAAGCACUCGGUGAAGUAGGUGAACAAGCUGGAAAGCUUGGCGAUACAGGGUGAUAGCCCCGUAACCGACGCUUCAUCGAGCGUGAAAUCGAGUAGGGCGGGACACGUGAUAUCCUGUCUGAAUAUGGGGGGACCAUCCUCCAAGGCUAAAUACUCCUGACUGACCGAUAGUGAACCAGUACCGUGAGGGAAAGGCGAAAAGAACCCCUGUGAGGGGAGUGAAAUAGAACCUGAAACCGUGUACGUACAAGCAGUAGGAGCACCUUCGUGGUGUGACUGCGUACCUUUUGUAUAAUGGGUCAGCGACUUAUAUUCAGUGGCAAGGUUAACCGUAUAGGGGAGCCGUAGCGAAAGCGAGUCUUAACUGGGCGCUCAGUCUCUGGAUAUAGACCCGAAACCGGGUGAUCUAGCCAUGGGCAGGUUGAAGGUUGAGUAACAUCAACUGGAGGACCGAACCGACUAAUGUUGAAAAAUUAGCGGAUGACUUGUGGCUAGGGGUGAAAGGCCAAUCAAACUCGGAGAUAGCUGGUUCUCCCCGAAAGCUAUUUAGGUAGCGCCUCGGACGAAUACUACUGGGGGUAGAGCACUGUUAAGGCUAGGGGGUCAUCCCGACUUACCAACCCUUUGCAAACUCCGAAUACCAGUAAGUACUAUCCGGGAGACACACGGCGGGUGCUAACGUCCGUCGUGGAGAGGGAAACAACCCAGACCGCCAGCUAAGGUCCCAAAGUAUUGCUAAGUGGGAAACGAUGUGGGAAGGCUCAGACAGCUAGGAUGUUGGCUUAGAAGCAGCCAUCAUUUAAAGAAAGCGUAAUAGCUCACUAGUCGAGUCGGCCUGCGCGGAAGAUGUAACGGGGCUAAGCAAUACACCGAAGCUGCGGCAAUAUCUUUUAGAUAUUGGGUAGGGGAGCGUUCUGUAAGCCGUUGAAGGUGAAUCGUAAGGUUUGCUGGAGGUAUCAGAAGUGCGAAUGCUGACAUGAGUAACGACAAAGGGGGUGAAAAACCUCCUCGCCGGAAGACCAAGGGUUCCUGUCCAACGUUAAUCGGGGCAGGGUGAGUCGACCCCUAAGGUGAGGCCGAAAGGCGUAAUCGAUGGGAAACGGGUUAAUAUUCCCGUACUUCUGACUAUUGCGAUGGGGGGACGGAGAAGGCUAGGUGGGCCAGGCGACGGUUGUCCUGGUUCAAGUGCGUAGGCUUGAGAGUUAGGUAAAUCCGGCUCUCUCUAAGGCUGAGACACGACGUCGAGCUGCUACGGCAGUGAAGUCAUUGAUGCCAUGCUUCCAGGAAAAGCCUCUAAGCUUCAGAUAGUCAGGAAUCGUACCCCAAACCGACACAGGUGGUCGGGUAGAGAAUACCAAGGCGCUUGAGAGAACUCGGGUGAAGGAACUAGGCAAAAUGGUACCGUAACUUCGGGAGAAGGUACGCUCUUGAUGGUGAAGUCCCUCGCGGAUGGAGCUGACGAGAGUCGCAGAUACCAGGUGGCUGCAACUGUUUAUUAAAAACACAGCACUGUGCAAAAUCGCAAGAUGACGUAUACGGUGUGACGCCUGCCCGGUGCCGGAAGGUUAAUUGAUGGGGUUAGCGCAAGCGAAGCUCUUGAUCGAAGCCCCGGUAAACGGCGGCCGUAACUAUAACGGUCCUAAGGUAGCGAAAUUCCUUGUCGGGUAAGUUCCGACCUGCACGAAUGGCGUAAUGAUGGCCACGCUGUCUCCACCCGAGACUCAGUGAAAUUGAAAUCGCUGUGAAGAUGCAGUGUACCCGCGGCUAGACGGAAAGACCCC